RNAcentral lists this ribosomal RNA (1058 nucleotides) under Staphylococcus aureus. RNAcentral's name for it is "partial 23S ribosomal RNA". It matches the Rfam family "Bacterial large subunit ribosomal RNA", at positions 1564 to 2622 of the family's 2925-position model. Lineage: Bacteria; Bacillati; Bacillota; Bacilli; Caryophanales; Staphylococcaceae. The record is from RNAcentral.
GAUGGGGAGAAGACAUUGUGUCUUCGAGUCGUUGAUUUCACACUGCCGAGAAAAGCCUCUAGAUAGAAAAUAGGUGCCCGUACCGCAAACCGACACAGGUAGUCAAGAUGAGAAUUCUAAGGUGAGCGAGCGAACUCUCGUUAAGGAACUCGGCAAAAUGACCCCGUAACUUCGGGAGAAGGGGUGCUCUUUAGGGUUAACGCCCAGAAGAGCCGCAGUGAAUAGGCCCAAGCGACUGUUUAUCAAAAACACAGGUCUCUGCUAAACCGUAAGGUGAUGUAUAGGGGCUGACGCCUGCCCGGUGCUGGAAGGUUAAGAGGAGUGGUUAGCUUCUGCGAAGCUACGAAUCGAAGCCCCAGUAAACGGCGGCCGUAACUAUAACGGUCCUAAGGUAGCGAAAUUCCUUGUCGGGUAAGUUCCGACCCGCACGAAAGGCGUAACGAUUUGGGCACUGUCUCAACGAGAGACUCGGUGAAAUCAUAGUACCUGUGAAGAUGCAGGUUACCCGCGACAGGACGGAAAGACCCCGUGGAGCUUUACUGUAGCCUGAUAUUGAAAUUCGGCACAGCUUGUACAGGAUAGGUAGGAGCCUUUGAAACGUGAGCGCUAGCUUACGUGGAGGCGCUGGUGGGAUACUACCCUAGCUGUGUUGGCUUUCUAACCCGCACCACUUAUCGUGGUGGGAGACAGUGUCAGGCGGGCAGUUUGACUGGGGCGGUCGCCUCCUAAAAGGUAACGGAGGCGCUCAAAGGUUCCCUCAGAAUGGUUGGAAAUCAUUCAUAGAGUGUAAAGGCAUAAGGGAGCUUGACUGCGAGACCUACAAGUCGAGCAGGGUCGAAAGACGGACUUAGUGAUCCGGUGGUUCCGCAUGGAAGGGCCAUCGCUCAACGGAUAAAAGCUACCCCGGGGAUAACAGGCUUAUCUCCCCCAAGAGUUCACAUCGACGGGGAGGUUUGGCACCUCGAUGUCGGCUCAUCGCAUCCUGGGGCUGUAGUCGGUCCCAAGGGUUGGGCUGUUCGCCCAUUAAAGCGGUACGCGAGCUGGGUUCAGAACGUCGU